Molecule: small RNA, 227 nt
Filed under: Jaculus jaculus (lesser Egyptian jerboa)
Lineage: Eukaryota; Metazoa; Chordata; Mammalia; Rodentia; Dipodidae
Description: 7SK RNA (ENSJJAG00000008184.1)
Source: RNAcentral
GCAUGAGCCACUACACCACCACUCCAUGUGUAUCCCUUUAGACCUUCCUCCAUAGAGGAAGAUCAUUCUUCAAGGGGAUACAAGUAGCUCCACUCACCUGCUAGAAUCUCCAAAUAAGCUCUCAACAAAAGGUAUUGGACAGGUAUGGUAGAUGACACCUGUAAUCACAGCCCUUGAGAGGCUGAAGCAAGAAGACAGACAGGAGUUUGAGGUUAGUGCCACCUAAG